RNAcentral lists this ribosomal RNA (116 nucleotides) under uncultured bacterium. RNAcentral describes it as "partial 16S ribosomal RNA". It matches the Rfam family "Bacterial small subunit ribosomal RNA", at positions 1369 to 1482 of the family's 1533-position model. The record is from RNAcentral.
CGUUCCCGGGCCUUGUACACACCGCCCGUCACACCACGGAAGCCGGCAACACCCGAAGCCGGUGGCCUAACCCGCAAGGGAGGGAGCCGUCGAAGGUGGGACUGGCGAUUGGGACU